Molecule: long non-coding RNA, 1044 nt
Filed under: Anas platyrhynchos platyrhynchos (common mallard)
Lineage: Eukaryota; Metazoa; Chordata; Aves; Anseriformes; Anatidae
Description: lncRNA (ENSAPLG00000018536.1)
Source: RNAcentral
GCAGUGGUUAAUCAGAAAGGUUUACCCUGCCUUGCCUGAGGGAGAAUUACAAAGAGCAGAUGAUGGUAGACAGUCAAUCUCCAGUGCUUCUGAAUCAAUUGGGCACUCUCCUGUCCCAGCUCAAGGAUCACAACACCUUUCUUGGGCAUGGGAUGGGAAUGUGUGAUAAUGCAAUUCUCCUUCCAGGCAUGAUGAUACCAGAUCUUUCUGUGAGCAACUCCCAUCACCUAGAGAGAUAAAGGAAGAGCUGGUAGCACUUGAUAGUCCUGAUCUGGGGUUGGAUUUCCAAGGUAAUGGCUCUCUAGCACCUCCUCUUUGUUCCCAGGGGAAGGCAUCUACCACUCCCUGUCUCAGCCAGGAUUAACAGCAAUCUCUGCAGUAUUGCCCUAGAGAUUUUAAACUAAGAGCCCCUUUUUGUUAACAGAUGUAAGUCUAAAAAAGACUCGAUAAGAAUUAAUUUAACUUUUUAAUAUAAACAUAAGGUUUGCACAUUAUCAAAGGAGAGAGGCAGAUGAAAAGAGGACAGGAAGGAAAGCGAGCAGGUCCAAACCCAGCACUGGGGAUGGAGGCUCCACUCACCACAGCACUGAGGGACAGGUAUAAUGCUCCUCACUUUGCUCUUACAAGUUAGUGAAGAGGAUGCUCUCCCCAGACACACACACUCUUCAAACUUUCCUUCUCUUUGAAGGAAAGCUCUCAGAGCUUCCUUUGAAGGAAUGCUCUUAGACACUUUUAUCUUUAGUCAGUCUCCCUUGCUAUAGGAUUCUCUGAACUGUAAUUGAAAAAUGUUCCAGAUUUUGAAGGGCCCUUAGCCAGGAGAAUUCCUGGGGAUAUAUCUCCUCUUUGAUGAAACUGAGAGUUAUUGAUGUUAACAAGGAUGAACUAAAGAACAGAUUCUUCAUGCUUAGGGAUGGAGGACUUAGCUUGGAAAGAGAUGGAAGGCAAGGAAACAAAGUCAAAAUUCCACUUCAGCAGCUUCCAGAUAGCACAAUACCUAUAAGAGAGCCAUCCUCACUGAUAUUCUUGUCCUUUAUGUCAGUGUGA